AUUGAACGCUGGCGGCAGGCCUAACACAUGCAAGUCGAACGGUAACAGGAAACAGCUUGCUGUUUCGCUGACGAGUGGCGGACGGGUGAGUAAUGUCUGGGAAACUGCCUGAUGGGGGGGGAUAACUACUGGAAACGGUAGCUAAUACCGCAUAACGUCGCAAGACCAAAGAGGGGGACCUUCGGGCCUCUUGCCAUCGGAUGUGCCCAGAUGGGAUUAGCUAGUAGGUGGGGUAACGGCUCACCUAGGCGACGAUCCCUAGCUGGUCUGAGAGGAUGACCAGCCACACUGGAACUGAGACACGGUCCAGACUCCUACGGGAGGCAGCAGUGGGGAAUAUUGCACAAUGGGCGCAAGCCUGAUGCAGCCAUGCCGCGUGUAUGAAGAAGGCCUUCGGGUUGUAAAGUACUUUCAGCGGGGAGGAAGGGAGUAAAGUUAAUACCUUUGCUCAUUGACGUUACCCGCAGAAGAAGCACCGGCUAACUCCGUG
RNAcentral lists this ribosomal RNA (490 nucleotides) under uncultured bacterium. RNAcentral's name for it is "partial 16S ribosomal RNA". It matches the Rfam family "Bacterial small subunit ribosomal RNA", at positions 30 to 507 of the family's 1533-position model. The record is from RNAcentral.